This 432-nucleotide ribosomal RNA is filed under the name uncultured bacterium. RNAcentral's name for it is "partial 16S rRNA". The record is from RNAcentral.
AACGCGAAGAACCUUACAAGAAUCUGAUUAACUUCGACCGACUGCGGGAGCUCCACUGGUGCAACCGCACGAUGGGUGGCGCAAUACAAAUGUACCGUCACCUGACGGGGCGCGAGGUGACCCUUGACGAGCUACUCAGUGUUCGGAUGACGCCGGACGGCGUCCAGGCGCUUCUGUUUGGUGCCCUGGUGGAUGUGCCCCUGGCGGAUUUCACGGACAUAUAUGCAUCGCUGUCUGAGCAAAAAGAUGAGCACGGCGUGCCUAUGAUUUUUCCGGAAUUUCAAGCGGCGGUGUAUGACGGUGUUUUCCAUUAUUUACCGGAGUCAAGCACCCGGUUGGUGGGUCAGGGCGAUCCCGCAUGGCCGGAAGCCUUGCCGGAUAAAAAUGCAGGGUCCUUCAGCCUGUUGCCGUUCCCGGGCCUUGUACACACCG